GAAGCUGGAGUUGCUAGUAAUCGCGAAUCAGCAUGUCGCGGUGAAUACGUUCCCGGGCCUUGUACACACCGCCCGUCACACCAUGAGAGUUGGCAAUACCCAACGUACGUGAUCUAACCCGCAAGGGAGGAAGCGUCCUAAGGUAGGGUCAGCGAUUGAGGUGAAGUCGUAACAAGGUAAC
This 181-nucleotide ribosomal RNA is filed under the name uncultured bacterium. RNAcentral describes it as "partial 16S ribosomal RNA". It matches the Rfam family "Bacterial small subunit ribosomal RNA", at positions 1322 to 1500 of the family's 1533-position model. The record is from RNAcentral.